This 386-nucleotide ribosomal RNA is filed under the name uncultured bacterium. Its description in RNAcentral is "bacterial SSU rRNA". It matches the Rfam family "Bacterial small subunit ribosomal RNA", at positions 29 to 405 of the family's 1533-position model. The record is from RNAcentral.
AUUGAACGCUGGCGGCAUGCCUUACACAUGCAAGUCGAACGGCAGCACGGGGGCAACCCUGGUGGCGAGUGGCGAACGGGUGAGUAAUGCAUCGGAACGUGUCCUCUUGUGGGGGAUAACCAGUCGAAAGAUUGGCUAAUACCGCAUGAGAUCGAGAGAUGAAAGCGGGGGACCCGAGGGUAACUUCGGGCCUCGCGCGAGAGGAGCGGCCGAUGCCGGAUUAGCAGGUUGGUGGGGUAAGAGCCUACCAAGGCGACGAUCCGUAGCUGGUCUGAGAGGACGACCAGCCACACUGGGACUGAGACACGGCCCAGACUCCUACGGGAGGCAGCAGGUGGGAAGUUUUGGACAAUGGGCGCAAGCCUGAUCCAGCCAUGCCGCGUGUG